AGAAUACUCCCUCCGUCCGAAAUUACUUGUCGUACAAAUUAAUAAAAACGGAUGUAUCUAGAACUAAAAUAUAUCUAGAUAUAUCCAUUCGUAUGACAAGUGUUUCCGGACGAAGGAAGCAUAUA
This is a non-coding RNA of Hordeum vulgare subsp. vulgare (domesticated barley), 125 nucleotides long. NCBI's taxonomy places the organism in Eukaryota, Viridiplantae, Streptophyta, Magnoliopsida, Poales, Poaceae. The record is from Rfam.